GUCAGCAGCCGCGGGAACACCGGCGGCCCGAGUGGUGAUCGUGAUUAUUGGGUCUAAAGGGUCCGUAGCCGGUUUGGUCCAGUCCUCCGGGAAAUCUCAUAGCUCAACGUAUUAGGCUUUCGGGGGAUACUGCCAGACUUGGAACCGGGAGAGGUAAGAGGUACUACAGGGGUAGGAGUGAAAUCUUGUAAUCCCUGUGGGACCACCUGUGGCGAAGGCGUCUUACCAGAACGGGUUCGACGGUGAGGGACGAAAGCUGGGGGCACGAACCGGAUUAGAUACCCGGGUAGUCCCAGCCGUAAACGAUGCUCGCUAGGUGUCAGGCAUGGCGCGACCGUGUCUGGUGCCGCAGGGAAGCCGUGAAGCGAGCCACCUGGGAAGUACGGCCGCAAGGCUGAAACUUAAAGGAAUUGGCGGGGGAGCACAACAACGGGGUUGGAGCCUGCGGUUUAAUUGGACUCAACGCCGGACAACUCACCGGGGGCGACAGCAAUAUGUAGGCCAAGCUGAAGACUUUGCCUGAAUCGCUGAGAGGAGGUGCAUGG
This 545-nucleotide ribosomal RNA is filed under the name uncultured archaeon. RNAcentral's name for it is "bacterial SSU rRNA". It matches the Rfam family "Archaeal small subunit ribosomal RNA", at positions 457 to 997 of the family's 1478-position model. The record is from RNAcentral.